This 1143-nucleotide long non-coding RNA is filed under the name Drosophila guanche. Lineage: Eukaryota; Metazoa; Arthropoda; Insecta; Diptera; Drosophilidae. The record is from RNAcentral.
GCAAUAUUAUGCAAUGCAAAUGCAAGAAAAGGCGUGCCUUGAUUUAAAAGAAAUAUUAUUUUAAAAUAAAGUUUUUGUUAAAAGAAAUGGCAAAAGUCCCAUAGUGCAUUGCAGCGACCGUUUUUUCCAGUUCUUUAAGUCACCCUCUUCGUUACAGAAGUUGUAGCAUAUAUGUAAGCUCUUAUCUCGCGCUCUAUUCAAUGAUCGCGCUAUCCAGUCUCAGUUAUAUUAAUAAUAGUGUUAUCUCUUAAUCGUUGGAGAGUCUCAAGUUAAGGCUUACUAACUUACUAAACGUAUUGCUCUGCAGUGUACUUUCGUUACGGGUGGGAUAAAGUGAAGUUUUUGUAAUGGGCCGCUUCUACAAGGUGAAACUCGACUUUCACAAUGCUUGAACGCCUCUCCUUGUUCAAAACUUUCUGUGAGAAGCACGUUAGUGAGUCGCUUCAAUUAACUGAAGCAUAUUGAAAAGAUACUCACGAACUGGUCGAAGCGUUACAGCCAAUUUAUAUUGCCACACAAAAACUGCAGAUGGAGCAGCUAUAUCUGGGCGAUUUCUAUAAGAUGUGGUUAGAGCUUACGCUAACAAUUAAAGCCAUGAAAAACUCACAUAGUGCAGCACUACAAAAGGCAAUUGGGAGAAGAGAAGAGGCUUUAACAUCCAACGAGUUAGUUACUUCAGCCAUCUAUUUGGAUCCCAGGAUCCAUUAAAAAUAUAACUAGCGAAGAACCAUUUGACUACACUUUACAGGAAAAUAAAUGGAAUUGAAAAGAAAGUAAGUAAUUUAAAGAAUGAAGAAUGCUAUUGUUUUCGUAAAUAUUUUAAUUUAUGUUUACACUGUUAUUUGCAGGACGAUAUUUUACCAGCUAUAAGCUUAGAUUCGCCAGAGCACACUGCGCAUGAAUUUGACCAGCCUUCCACAAGCCAAUUGUCGGGCGCGUCACAGAGUACUGUGGAGGAGGAACAUGAAGUUCAGCUUUCCAUUAAUGAAAUAAACAAUUAUUGUCCGAAGCAAAUUCACAUAAAUGCCAAUAUUAUGGAUUAAUGGGAAGAAAAGAAAUACAAUAUCCCCGCUUAUAUGAAUUGGCAAAGGUCAUACAUUGUGUUCCCGCAACACAAGUCAGCGUUGAAAGGGCAUUUUCGGC